Alexandromys fortis (reed vole) is the source of this 1431-nucleotide long non-coding RNA. RefSeq lists it as uncharacterized. The transcript is spliced from 3 exons. The record is from RefSeq and is a predicted model, not a curated record. Lineage: Eukaryota; Metazoa; Chordata; Mammalia; Rodentia; Cricetidae.
GCCAAUUCCAAGUGUACCCAGGAGGCAAGGGAACAGUCACCAGCUGGGGAUCCGGCAAAGGCAUUCACUGGAAGACUGAAUCCCUCAGGGCAAAUCAGCUAGCUGAACAGAAGUAAUAAGUAGCAGUUCUGGCAAUUGUCAUUGCUUCUGUGGAAAGCCAGUGGACAGUUGGGCAGAGGACGAUGCUCUGGAGCUUUUAUUCUUCUCCCUUCCUACCAGUUGGCCUUCCUUUAUGGUGGACACUCACAUUGGACUAGACAAGAUCGAUGUCACAGUGAAUGUUGAAGUAACAACUUGGAAGAAACCCGAACAGUGCGGCAGCACUUUUCAAGAAGACUGCUCAGAUCAAGUCUAUUGAGUGUAAGAGAAAGAAACCACGUUGUUGUUUCAGUCAAGCUACUGGUGGAUCUCUUGUAUAACAGUUUAGUUUCACCCCCAUUAAAAUGGAAUUAUAUCUUAAAAGCAGUGUGCUUUGCAGCAAAUUACUAACUACUAUGUGGCUGGACCAAGGAUAUUGACAUUAUAGAUUUGAAAAUUAGUAAUUAUUUUCACGUUGUGGCAAAGCAUGGGGAAAUUGUCACCAAAAAUAAGUUGGGAUUGUCUAACGCCUAGUAAUAGGGUACCUUAAGAAGUACAAUUUUGAAAUUCUCCAAAUUCUCAUACUUAGUCAAUCAGUUUUUUUUUUUUUGCAAAGAUUAGACUCAAUUUAAGAGCUUUGUGUAUAACUAGAAUUUUCAAAUGGAAAUGGACUCAAACAUACCGAGACUUCUGUUUAAAACACUGUGAAGGAAAUUUUACUUGAUAAAAUAUAGAAGAAAUAGAAUAAAUUCCUGACUUCCUACUCAACUCAGUUCUAACCACAAACUCAUGAUAAAUUUAUGAUAUUGCAUCCUCCUUAAUUUCCCCUAAAUCCAAGGGACUAGUAAUAAACAUAAUUAAAAACAUUUUUGUUGAAUUACCAAGACACACAGAAGAAUGAACAGAGCCGAAGAGUUUAGCUCAAUGAACAUAUUCUUGUUACCAACACCUGUCUCAGAAUAGAGAUCUGAUCAACUCUCUAAAGUCCUUCUGGUUCAUUCCAGUAAUUGUAUGUCUUGAGCACAUAAUCCACUAUAGAGGCUUCUAGCACCAUUAAAGAAGAUGUGCUUUUAUUUUUUAUAUAUAUUGAAUAUGUAAAGUGUGUGUUCUUUAGCAUAUGACUUUCUUGAUCACCAUAAUGUCUUCUGAGAGCAUGUUAAGAUCUUUCACUGGAACCUUGAAUUAGUCAAUUAGGCUAGGCUAACUGGCCAACAAGGCCUAAGAAACCUCCUGUGUCUUCCUCCUUAGCAUUGAGAUUAUAGAUACCUAUUCCUAUAUUUUAUAUGGGUGCUAAAGAUCAAACUUAGAUCCUUAUACUUGCAUAUCAAGCACUUUUGCCAACUGAGCCAUCUA